RNAcentral lists this ribosomal RNA (98 nucleotides) under Citrobacter freundii. Lineage: Bacteria; Pseudomonadati; Pseudomonadota; Gammaproteobacteria; Enterobacterales; Enterobacteriaceae. The record is from RNAcentral.
GCGGUCCCACCUGACCCCAUGCCGAACUCAGAAGUGAAACGCCGUAGCGCCGAUGGUAGUGUGGGGUCUCCCCAUGCGAGAGUAGGGAACUGCCAGGC